Non-coding RNA from Acanthosepion pharaonis, 112 nucleotides. NCBI's taxonomy places the organism in Eukaryota, Metazoa, Mollusca, Cephalopoda, Sepiida, Sepiidae. The record is from the annotation of a GenBank genome assembly.
UACAGCCACAUCACGUUGAAAUUACGGUUUCCGUGUGAUCACCGACGUUAAGCAACAUUGAACCUGAUCAGUACCUUGAUGGUUGACCGCUUGGGAAUUUUAGGUGCUGUAA